ACUCCCGCUGCCUCCAGGAUGAGUCCUUUGCAAAACACCGCGUGAGGGAGGGAGGGGAACGAAUGCAAAUGGCUUUGGAGACAAUCUCCUCUUUCCCAUGUAUAUACAUAUGCUCUCAAAGCGUUGCAGUUUGCAGCAGCUUGGAUGCUUUAAAAUAAAUCAUGCAGUGCAUUUUUUUUUUCUUGCUCCUAAAUGAAACCGUGGCACAAAACAACGUCCCCAAACUCGCAAAGCCCUCGGUGCUGGUUCUGCUCUCCGGGGCUGGCCAGCGUGUGUGUGGCCACAAACCUCCACGCGUUGUGUGGCGAAGCCUCACGGUCGCCUGCUUUAAGGGCUUGACAGGUUUAUAAAGUGCUGAGUGUCCCGGAGGGACGGCGGCACUGUUUGCAGAGAAGAUGAAGCGUGCCAUAUCCAGCUGGUCUAACAAGGCAGCGGGAAAUCUAAAUUAAUUCAGGAAUCACUUCUGUUUUGCCGAGGGAGGAUGUGGGUCUCGAUCUAUGGAAGGAGCACGUCGGGGGAAUACUCAGUAACGGCAGGCGUGGGGGUGCAGCGCCAGGCUCCCCCCUCUUACACCGGGGUAAAUCAGGGGGCAUUUAGCUGAGGUACAGAGCAGCAGCGGGGUGAAAUGGGCCCCGGGGGCUGUGUCGUGUUUGGGGUGGAAGCCUGGUUCCCACCUGCGAGGGCUGAUCCUCCCCAGCCUCCCUAAGGAGGGACCCGCCUCAACCACUGCCACCUGGGCUCUGCAGGUGAGGCCGGGGGCAUUUAAUGGCUCCUGCUGCCUCCCCCCUUCCUCUGGGCUGUGUCCUCUCUGUUCCACCACAUCCCUCCCACAGCACGGGCUCAGCCUCGGUGCCCGUGUUGGACUUGGGCCUUAGCCUGUUCUCGGUACCGCAGGAUUGUGAUUUUGUGCAGGAUAACGUCAGUCCAGGCCACAGCCACCUCCCUGCCAUGGCACUUGGGGACGAUGCUCCAAAGUCAGCCCAUGACGUCCACCUAUUGAAACCUCCAAGGCACGCAGUUUCUGCAGCUAAGUCAUAUCAGGAGUGAAAACUUUUUGGUAGAGCAUUAGGCUGCGGAAAAAAUCAGAGCUCCCAAAUAGUGGUGAUCCAGCCUGGGACGCUGCCUAGCCCAAGGGCUCCUGGCAAUGCCAGGACCUACCUCGUGUGGGCCAGCUCUGAGGGCCUGCAGAGAGCCACACCCUGCUUAGCAGCUGCAGUGGAGCUUCCUAAAACACCCAGGGACCCUCAGGUCUGCCAGGAUGCUCUUGAUUCCUGACUGUUUUUUUUUUUUAAUGAGGUGCAAGUCUGUAACCAGAAGACACUAAAAAGCAAUUGCAUUAAAUCAAGAACUACAUUUGACUUUAUGGAUUGUUUAUGGGAUCUUUCUUUUAUUAAUUCUUUAUCCUUUAAUAUUAUAAAGGAUUUGUGUCCACAAUAAAUAAUGUAAAGUUAAAUUACA
Molecule: long non-coding RNA, 1458 nt
Filed under: Anser brachyrhynchus (Pink-footed goose)
Lineage: Eukaryota; Metazoa; Chordata; Aves; Anseriformes; Anatidae
Description: lncRNA (ENSABRG00000021956.1)
Source: RNAcentral